Balaenoptera musculus (blue whale) is the source of this 2211-nucleotide non-coding RNA. The record is from the annotation of a RefSeq genome assembly. NCBI's taxonomy places the organism in Eukaryota, Metazoa, Chordata, Mammalia, Artiodactyla, Balaenopteridae.
AUGAACUUCUAGGUCAGAUGGGUUAUUCUCAGAGCUCCAUGAGUAUGAGACUGGCUACAGUAGAUGACCACCUUCUGGGACUGUGGAAAAUUGAUGGGGAAUAAGGAGCCCAACGGAAUCUACCCUCUGAUAUAUUUGUUUCAUUCAGACUAAAUCUCUAAAGGGUUAGACCUAAGCAAAGAUCUAAAAGGAAAUCAGACUGCUAUGCUGUUGUGCUGGAAGUUUUUACCCUCUAUUCUUCUUCCUGAGUGCUCAGUUGAACCUUGAAGGGAAGCCCAUUCUGAGGCGCCAUCACCCUGCUAUUGGCUUGCUUCUGGGGACAGCCCUAGGUGAGAGCUGCUAGUGUGGGCUCUGGCAGGUGCUGCUGUGCCUCGUCCCUGGUUCAUAUCCCUGGUCCAGGCUCAGACUCAGCAACAGAGCCUGACCCUGGGUCCUAGUUUACACUAGAAUAUGAGGCAUUUGGCAAGACUGACUGUGCUCCUGAUCUUGGGUACUUUGAGUCUUGCUAAGACCAUCCAGCCCACCUUCAUUGACGCAUAUGAAGGACAAGAAGUGAACAUAUCCUGUAACCACACCAACAUUGCUACAGAUGACUAUAUCUUCUGGUACCGACAGUUCCCCAACCAGGGACCACAAUUUGUCAUUCAAGGAUAUAAGACAAACAUCGCAAAUGAAGUGGCAUCUCUGUUUAUCCCUACUGAGAGGAAGUCCAGCACCCUGAGCCUGCCCUCCGCUGCCCUGAAAGACGCUGCUGUGUAUUACUGCGUCGUGAGUGACACACAGUGAGACAGGUGGAGCUGCACCUGUUCAAUAUCUCCCUGUGGGGUGGGGGUCACAGCCCAGGGGGAAUCCCAAAAGUAGUACUUUCCAAAGAGUUUAUUUUGCUUUAUUAUUUUCAGAAGGUAUUAGUAAAUCUAUGUAUUACUUUACUGUUUUAAAAAAUUUUGAUCUUAUCUUUAAAAUAGGUAUUCCAUUUACAUGGUCUAAAAUUCAUCCUAUUAUUGUCUCUGAGCUGCUCAAUUAUACAAAAUGAAGCAAUCUAUGGUACCUAUACUAUUGUUGCUUAGCUCACUGGUGUCCCUCAGUUUGUGCACAUACACACGCACACACACACACUAUGCACACACACACACUACACACCCUUACAUGCACAUUGCAUGCUGUCAGUUUGGACAACAUGCUUCUCAGCUUUUGAAAAAUUCAGCCCAAGUGUCAGAUUAUUAUUUAUUGUCAUAUGCAUUUUGAACAUUUCUUUGUUAUUUCAAGCAUCUGCAAGAUGCUUUCCAAGUCUCCUCUGAGUUUAGAUCUUUUACUCUCUGUUGCCCCUCUUUCACUUUUCUUUUGUCCCACUCACCUGUUAUGGAUGGCAUGGCAAAGAGAAUGGAGAUGAUGGUGGGGGCAGGGUGGAAGAGUUUUUUGCUUCUAAUUGGUAUGAUAGACUAUUUUUGCAGUAUAUUAAGCAGAAACAUAGGGAUUCUGGGUCAUUGUCACUUUUCAGAAUUGGGUCCUUUGGGGGCCAAAGGGAGACAAGAAUAAUGACAAAGUUCCUGGGAAUCUUGCUAGUGAGCCAGUAGCUUAAUUAGGACUGUGAGGAUAUUAUUAUUAAUUUUUUUUGGUGGGGGGCUAGUUUCUGAUUUUGGCAACAGGGAAUGCAACACUUGAUGAUAUUUUCUAUUGAGACUGACAGGGCUACACCAUGGCAUGAGAGAGUAUUUCCAUGUAGCUCAUCUUAGGGUUUGGUAGGGAAGCAGUAUUGUGGAAAAUCAAAUAGCGACAGAGAAUUAGAGUCCAUAAACUCAUCUCCUUUGGUUAACAUCUUUCUAAACAUGGUUGAGGAACCUGCAGAAGGUGGAACAGAGUGCUGGGUCUCUGAAUGUUUAGGAUGUAGCCAGCGCUUCUGUCAACUUCACUUAAGAAGACCACAAUUUCUAGUACUUCUUGUGGUACAGGUAAUAUCCUGGAAAAGCCUAGGGUUUCUUAUUCCCAUAAGCUCAAAUGGAGAAAAAAGAGAAAAGAAGAUCCAUAGCAUUUGAACAAAGACAAGACACUUACAGACUCAUAUACCUACAUCUGCGUGGCAAGUUCACAGUCAUUCCCAAGUGCCUGCAGUCUCUGCCCAAACCAGCUGCAGAGGGUCCACCUACAUUCCUGACAUGAGAAUUGAGAGGGUCGUGUAGAGGGGAAUCUCUGUAAGGUUUCUAUCUACUUAUG